RNAcentral lists this long non-coding RNA (894 nucleotides) under Pandoravirus neocaledonia. Its description in RNAcentral is "hypothetical ncRNA". The record is from RNAcentral.
GGAAUCCUUUUCUUUUCCCCGCUAUGCAGUCGCUUGCGUCAGAGAGACCAGGAUACGCGGGAAAAAAGCAGAGAGAAAAAGGCAAACAGCAGACGGCAACGCGCACGAGAAACAACGAGAACGAUCAAAUGACACAAACAAGCGCGUCAAGAAACACGAGGCCUGCGAGCGGUCGCGUCCAGCCGAGACCGAGGCCCACAGACAGACGAAAAGGCGGGUUGUUUUGCGCGCGUGCGGUCGCAAGACGCUGCGAUUGGCCGUGACGUGCGCGUGUGCCGUCGUCGUUUGUUCUUUGGGCGCGUCGCCUUUCUGUUUGUCGAGUCGUCCUUUUGUUCCGGUCGGACGUCUCGGUCCGUCUCGUCGACGCGCGCCAACAAACCGCUUCGUUUUUGUGCCGUUGUGCGGCGCGCCGACCAACCGGGACGAAGAAAAAUGCAGCAAAGAAAAAAGGGCGAAACAGCGGCGGCGUCCGUGCGCGGGCGAUCGCGGUUGUCGCAUCGGGGAAGAAACCCGGUUCGCCGCAGUUCCCAGACUUUUGAAAUGGAGGGCGAAGAUGAAGCCAUGAACGGUCGAAAAAAAGGACAUUCACGGACGGCUCAUGGGCCGUUGCCCCGACAAGUGGAACAGACGACAUCCGUGCGCCUGCCGGCUCUUUCUCUCGGGCGCGCCCAAUGCUUUGGAUAGACGAGACAACGGCACGAGAGGACAUCCCUCGCACUGCGACGCUUUUUUCUGAUGCCUUCUUUUCUAACGAAUUCUUUCUUUUUUUUUUGAGACUUUGGGGAUCAAGCACAGGGAAAGAAUGUGUUUUGGUAUUGUGCGGGCAGAGGCCGACGCGCUGUGUUGUCCACAAAAGACUUUUGUGUUGUCUGACAAAAAAAGAAAGUAUUUCCG